GGGUAACGAGAAGAUUGAAAGAGGGAAGCAGAGGAGUUGGGAGCUGGCGGUCGUUCCCGGGGAAGAACUGCUAAAAGAUGAGACCAAGGCACAGACCUUACUGUAUGAGAAGCAAUGCUCCUCAAACCUUCUGCGUCCUGACAUAGACCUUCCCAGAAGCAAAACUGUUGGCCGCGACCGAGCGCUGGAAGCCGAAGGGGAAGAGGAAGGAGACGCGAAGCCAAGGCGGCCGGCACAAAGGCGGCGGACUCGCGGCGGCAGCGCCUGCCCGGCCGGGAGCACACCCCGCGGCCCUACUCCAGCGAAGUCCCGCACCGGCUUCUAGGAAUAAAGUUUACGUUCUCCUGAUGCCGCACCCCCCACCUCCCACCCAGGACGGCACAUCUCCGCGGCCUCCUCCCCCAAACUCCACUCGGGACCCCGAGAACCACCCCAGCCUUCCGGCCACCACAACAAAGAGCCGCACCGACCGGCGAGGGUAAACAGCGGCGGAGGGCGAGAGGGCGGCGGGGCGAGCGCCUCCACGCAGCAACUCCGGAGUCCCCCGCUUGCCCGAGCGCAGUUUCUCCGCUGCUGUUUCCACCAGCUUUGUAACACUGGGAAUUUACAUCCUCACCCGCACCCCUCACGCCCGAAGAUUUUAAACUCACCUUUACUUUCGAACUGAGAGUUGCGGUAGAUGGGAUUUUUGCCUUUUCCCCAGAUGGUUGAAGGUUAAGAUUUUUGGAAACCCCACCACCUCCUUAUUUCUAUUAUUAUUUCUGCAAGAAAAGUAUAAAGAGAGUUGUAGUGGAGGUGAGAUUUGUGAUCGGGAAAGCCCUCGACUCCCUCCUUCUCCGUCUUCCGCCUCUCUCUCUCUGAUUAGUUCCUAUCCAGCAGCAGAUUGAAGCAGGAGAUGAUUCUUCUCAAGGUUUGUUCAGCAGCUUCACUUCUAGGCGAAGGCUUCAUGAACCAAGUGACGUCAACCAACAAGGCUUCUCUCUCUCUCCUCUCUCUAACAAUGAAAGUUGCUGUUAACAAGGGAAAAAAAGAGAGAGAAUUGUUUAUACCAUUUCAGUUCCAAUAAUAAAUGACCUAUCAGCUCCUAAAGGAGCUAAGGGAGGGGGUUGCUGCUUCUUUCCAAGAAUACUGUAGCUUUGAGUUUGCACCGUUCCUUGUCCCAGGAAAAAGUUAAGCAACUUAAAAUGUUUUGCUUUGCUUUUAAAGAAGACAGGACAGAAAAUGGGACUUAAAACUUAGUUUUUUAAAAACAAAAGCUACAGAGUAGGGAGCAUAGGUCAACUACCAUCUCCACCUAAACUUUUUUUUGUUCCUAAACUCAGAAUUCUACAAACCAAAUAAAUUAAUAUGCCGAGAUUUCGCGGAUGUUAAAACUCAAAAAGCAGGAUGCAAGAUGGUCCCGGGGUAAAAUUCUACUGCCUUUCUACGAACAAGUUAAACUGGCUGUAAUGUUUACGCACUAAGUUAAAAUAAAAUUUAAAUAAAAGACGUUAAAAUA
Mandrillus leucophaeus (drill) is the source of this 1498-nucleotide long non-coding RNA. RefSeq lists it as uncharacterized. Lineage: Eukaryota; Metazoa; Chordata; Mammalia; Primates; Cercopithecidae. The record is from RefSeq and is a predicted model, not a curated record. The transcript is spliced from 2 exons.